CCCUUAGAUGUUCUGGGCUGCACGCGCGCUACACUGGUGCGUUCAGCGAGUUUAGCACCUUAACAGAUAUGUUUGGGUAAUCUUCUGAAAACGCACCGUGAUGGGGAUCGAUUAUUGUAAUUAUUAAUCGUCAACGAGGAAUUCCUAGUAAGUGUGAAUCAUCAGUUCGCGCUGAUUACGUCCCUGCCCUUUGUACACACCGCCCGUCGCUGCUACCGAUUGAGUGGUCCGGUGAAUUAUUCGGACCGGUGGACUGUGGGGUAACUCGCGGUCUGCUGGGAAGUCUUGUGAACCUUAUCACUGAGAGGAAGCAGAAGUCGUAACA
RNAcentral lists this ribosomal RNA (325 nucleotides) under uncultured eukaryote. Its description in RNAcentral is "partial 18S ribosomal RNA". It matches the Rfam family "Eukaryotic small subunit ribosomal RNA", at positions 1470 to 1796 of the family's 1831-position model. The record is from RNAcentral.